CAGCCGCCGCGGGAAUACGAAGGGUGCAAGCGUUAAUCGGAAUUACUGGGCGUAAAGCGUGCGUAGGCGGUGAGUUAAGUCUGCUGUGAAAUCCCCGGGCUCAACCUGGGAAUGGCAGUGGAUACUGGCUCGCUAGAGUGUGUCAGAGGAUGGUGGAAUUCCCGGUGUAGCGGUGAAAUGCGUAGAGAUCGGGAGGAACAUCAGUGGCGAAGGCGGCCAUCUGGGACAACACUGACGCUGAGGCACGAAAGCGUGGGUAGCAAACAGGAUUAGAUACCCCCGUAGUCCCUGUCUCUUAUAC
RNAcentral lists this ribosomal RNA (301 nucleotides) under uncultured bacterium. Its description in RNAcentral is "partial 16S ribosomal RNA". It matches the Rfam family "Bacterial small subunit ribosomal RNA", at positions 509 to 807 of the family's 1533-position model. The record is from RNAcentral.